UACAGAGGGUGCUAGCGUUAAUCGGAUUUACUGGGCGUAAAGCGCACGUAGGCGGCUUUCUAAGUCGGGGGUGAAAUCCUGGAGCUCAACUCCAGAACUGCCUUCGAUACUGGAAAGCUCGAGUCCGGGAGAGGUGAGUGGAACUGCGAGUGUAGAGGUGAAAUUCGUAGAUAUUCGCAAGAACACCAGUGGCGAAGGCGGCUCACUGGCCCGGUACUGACGCUGAGGUGCGAAAGCGUGGGGAGCAAGCAGG
RNAcentral lists this ribosomal RNA (253 nucleotides) under uncultured prokaryote. RNAcentral's name for it is "partial 16S ribosomal RNA". It matches the Rfam family "Bacterial small subunit ribosomal RNA", at positions 524 to 776 of the family's 1533-position model. The record is from RNAcentral.